This 581-nucleotide long non-coding RNA is filed under the name Salmo trutta (river trout). RNAcentral's name for it is "lncRNA (ENSSTUG00000040297.1)". The record is from RNAcentral. Lineage: Eukaryota; Metazoa; Chordata; Actinopteri; Salmoniformes; Salmonidae.
AGAUUAUCUCCUUGGGACGUUGAAAGGGAAUUGUCAGUUCUCGUUCCAAUAGCCCUGGAAACUAGCCCAGACGCCCAGCUAGAGAGAGAGAGGGGAAAAAUAUGGCAGGGCGGGACGGAGCCUGCCGUAAAUGAAAGAGAGCCGUGAGAAGUGUUUGCCAUUAAAAUCUAUUUAGCCAGCAGUGAGGAGCGGACACCGGAACCAGGCAAAAUACAGGGCAGCUCAGGGGUCCUGGCUGGGAGAGAGGGCUUUCUGAGUGCAAGGAGCAUGCCAACGUGAAAACCGAAAAUAACCCACACACACGCAUCAUCGGACGGAGGCUGGUGUGUCCCCACAUCAGCAACAGGCCGGCCCCUCAACCUUUCCAGGGCCGGGGUGAGAAUCUCUUCAGCUCCUCUCAGCUGCCAGGCAUGCUCAGCCACGCCUCACUGAUUUACACUGGAAGCCAUGGCAGGAGCCAGGGCCACCGUGGACCCUCUGAAAAACAAACCACUGACAGGCACCAACCACAGGAGUGUGGGGACUCUCUCUCCCCUGAUCUGCACCAGGAGCAGGGUCACAGCCUCUACAGGCUGUCUUGA